This 750-nucleotide ribosomal RNA is filed under the name uncultured bacterium. RNAcentral describes it as "bacterial SSU rRNA". It matches the Rfam family "Bacterial small subunit ribosomal RNA", at positions 59 to 775 of the family's 1533-position model. The record is from RNAcentral.
CAGUCGAACGGAGAUUAUACGCAGAGGCGAUUUCGGUCAAAUCAUGUGUAAUCUUAGUGGCGGACGGGUGAGUAACACGUAGGUAACCUGCCCCGGAGCGGGGGAUAACAUUUGGAAACAGAUGCUAAUACCGCAUAACAACAAAAGCCACAUGGCUUUUGUUUGAAAGAUGGCCUUGGCUAUCACUCUGGGAUGGACCUGCGGUGCAUUAGCUAGUUGGUAAGGUAACGGCUUACCAAGGCAAUGAUGCAUAGCCGAGUUGAGAGACUGAUCGGCCACAUUGGGACUGAGACACGGCCCAAACUCCUACGGGAGGCAGCAGUAGGGAAUCUUCCACAAUGGACGAAAGUCUGAUGGAGCAACGCCGCGUGAGUGAAGAAGGGUUUCGGCUCGUAAAGCUCUGUUGGUAGUGAAGAAAGAUGGAGGUAGUAACUGGCCUUUAUUUGACGGUAAUUACUUAGAAAGUCACGGCUAACUACGUGCCAGCAGCCGCGGUAAUACGUAGGUGGCAAGCGUUGUCCGGAUUUAUUGGGCGUAAAGCGAGUGCAGGCGGUUUAAUAAGUCUGAUGUGAAAGCCUUCGGCUCAACCGGAGAAUUGCAUCAGAAACUGUUGAACUUGAGUGCAGAAGAGGAGAGUGGAACUCCAUGUGUAGCGGUGGAAUGCGUAGAUAUUAGGAAGAACACCAGUGGCGAAGGCGGCUUGCUGGACAGUAACUGACGUUGAGGCUCGAAAGCGUGGGGAGCAAACAG